UGGAGAGAGGAGGGAAGCGAGAAAGUGAGGAAGAGAUAGACAGAGGGAAGGAGGGAAUAAGGAGAGGGAGAUAGGGUGAGAAUGAGAGAACGUGGGAUUGAGAGAGGGAAAGAUAGAGUAAGGGAGAGGCAGCGAUAUCCCUUUCAAUCUAUCUCUUUAUUUAUCACACUCUCUUUUACCCCUAUCCAUUGUCAUCUUUCGUUCUCUUCUCCUCCCUCAUUGCUUUUCUUCUCAUAUAUUUAAUUCGUGAAGGAAUUCACAGAAACAAGUGAACCAAGAGAGCCUGCAAAAACGACCGUCGUAAGAGUGAGGCGGAGCACUAUGAGUGGAGGAAUUUGGUCUGUGACUGAUGAAACUAGGAGGCGAAAGACAUAGUUUCACGUUUUUUAGGAAGAAGAUGAUGAAAAUGGAUCGAAGAAACUGGAUUGGAGAAGGAGGUAGUUGUUUCUCUCUUGGAAGGAAGAAGAUGAUGAUCAGAUGAAAUUAUGGUUUCUUGGGCUUGGGUUAGCUUGCAGGACUAUAUUAAUAUUGGGCUUUGGCUUGGGUUAAUAAAGUUGGACUAGAAAAUUGCUCUUCUCCUAUCAAAAAACACUCAUGCUCAACUGAACAGGCCAAAGUACCCCGCGUGACUUAAGUCACGCUCGGUACUUUCAUCGUGAGUUAACUCAUAGAGGUUGUAAACCUAGCGUGACUUAACUCAUGCUACGUUCUGUUAUACAACAGCAAUUCAGAAACAUAACGAUUCAUUUUUCAAAAGUUCCAAAUACGAUUUUUCUCCCAUCAAGUGCGAUUUUCUUCAUUCUUGCGCCAAUGAAACUCAAUUUCAACCAUAAAAUCAAAUAUGUCUCAGAGGCCUAAUAGAGUUAGGGGAGGGAGGGAGUCUACUACCGGUAGUGCAUAGAGAGAAAAGGUCGCACAACACCCUCCUCAGGCAGGUCGACGGAGACAAGGGCACGAGGAUUGGUAAGUGUGAUGAUGUAAAGGGAUCAUCGUCACAGGCGGAUGCGUGCCAGAUAGUGGACCCGACGUAUUAUCAGCAUCAGCAUCAGGCAUAUCAGCCUCAAUAUGAGCAGACUCACCAGCAGGAGGGUGAGGCCUGUGGUGAGGCUCAGAAGGAGUAGAGGAUAGAGUUCCAGCCCGAACCGCAGUGCUUUCCUAGGGGGCCUAGUGAUUUGUCGCAUCUACCUAAGUUCAGUAAACACGUUGCAGGCAGCAAGAUAUGGGUCGAUGAUGAAUUCAAAUGUCCCAUAAGGUGACCGGUGUUUGGCAUGGGAAGAAGCUUAGUCAUAAUACCUUGAUGGUGCCGGAAGAAGGAAAAAAAUGGUUCUAGACGCCGGUGAAUGCAUCCGGUUUUGCCCCUUCCUUAAGACUAGGUACGACAACAUCACUCACGGGCUAAUUUGUGUUUUAUCAGAGAGAUGGAAUAAGGAGACCAACAGCUUCUACAUGCUUGUUGGGAGAUGGCCGUCACACUAGAUGAUGUGGCAUAUCUUCUGGACAUCCUCAUCACUAGUAGGCUCAUUGAGCAGGAGGAUCAAACUUAUGAGUAUGACAUAUUUUUGCUGGAGAAUGAGUUGGGUUUUACGACGCAAGAAGCGAUGAAAGAGGUGAAAGAUCAGCGGGGUCUUUAUGUAAGUUACACUCACCUGAAGAGGUGUUAUGAAAGCAUGUUGAAUAGGUGUAAUCAGUUGGAGGAGCCUGCAUCAGACGAGGAGGAGGAGGAGCAGAGUGUUGUUAGGACCACCUGCAUUAAGGUGUUUUUGCUGCUCUUGCUUGGCUACACCGUUUUUGCCAGCAAGAACAACAAAAGCGUUAAUCUGCUAUGGCUGUUUGCGCUUUAGGACUUGGACAGGUUGGGUGACUGGUCAUGGGGCGGGAUGACACUUUCUUUCCUGUAUGAGCUAUUUUGUCUUACCUCUGACUCGGUUGUUAAAGCCACUGGUGGUUACAUGACCUUGCUAGUGGAUGAGUUUUGAAGCACUUCAAGAAGAUCGUUCUGAGGAAGCCUAAGCCAGAGUACAAGCCUGGGUAAUUGGAAACCUCCUAGGGGCUAUGCUGAUGUUGGACACUACAGAUGCCUCCUUAAUUUGAUGUUGAAUGCUAAUGUCAUCUGGAGGUCGUAUGAGACUCGGCAAGACCUGACGCCUUUUCGAGACAUAUGCUGAUACUCAAGAUGGAUUAUGGCCGACAAAGACAGGAUGUGUCGUCACUUUCCAGAGCGGGUUCUGAGGCAAUACGACUAUAUCCAAACCAUUCUCAGACCUCCUGCGACGAUUCUUGAGUCAGAGUAUGUGGUUAUCGCCUUCACGGAUUUUUCUAUCCAUGUCCUUAGCCAGCAGGAGAGGGAUCAUUCGGUCCCAGAGGACGAGGUGUGGAAGUAUGUGAUGAGGUACAUCAAAUGGUUCUACUGUGUAUCUCAUCAUAUGUUCCGCGAGCCUGCGCCUAUUGUUGAGUACACAACUCCUAUCCCUCCUUACAAGGAAGUUAUUGUAAAGCAGCAGUGAGCUAGACAGCUUCCCGACCCACUCCAGAUCAUCGACAACAUCAGGCGCAAAGUGGAUAGUGCUAUGGAGAUUCCUGAUAUGUUUUCAAAUCCUCUUGUUGUCGGCAUUAUGGAGAGCAUACAGUCCAAGUAUAGCAUUCUGCAGGAGGUGGCAGUUUCGCAGAGAAGGACUAUGAGUCAUAGUGCAUAGGAGGAGUAGGGUCUUGUUCUAGUGUUUUUAGGACAUUUGUAUAUUUUUAAAUGUUUUUGUGACAUUUCGGGGGAUUUAUGACAUUUUGAUUAGU
Molecule: long non-coding RNA, 2787 nt
Organism: Medicago truncatula (barrel medic)
Lineage: Eukaryota; Viridiplantae; Streptophyta; Magnoliopsida; Fabales; Fabaceae
Exons: 4
Source: RefSeq, a predicted model, not a curated record